UUUGUAAAUUUCAAAGGAAACAGUAAAACAAACAGUCAAAACUACAUCUUGGCAUAUUGCUACAAAGCAGCUGUGAGCAGCCAGGGUGGUUAUGACAUCGUUGUGACAUGCUGCUGCCCUCAGGGAAGAGGUUCACACUUUACCACAGGCAAAGGAUUCCAGGCACCAACCACACUCAUCUUGCAUCUGGAAGUGUUCAGGUGACAGGACUUCCUGCACCUGCCCCCUGGCAGUCCAACUCCGGGAACACUCCAUGGAAGAUCCUGCCAGAGCAGGAACAUCCGUUUCACCUGCCCCUCCUCCCCUGGCAACUUGAGAGGCAUCUGUCCUCAAUGGCUUGCAACUGAAACAGGAGAAUCACUGCCAAACCAUUUCUUGCACAACAGUGCACUUCGGAGGAACCACACAAAAUUUUUGUCAACUGAAUUGUAUCUUCCUCCUGACUUACAUGAUAGUCCAGAUAUGCUCUGGCUUCCGUGUUCAUGGGUGGAUCAUUAUUGGUAAUGGCUCCCAACACUUCAUAUUCUUUGAUUUCCACUAAAUACCUAUAAAACAGCAUUUACUUCACUAUGCAAGGGUAGAAACUUCCUUCUAGGAAUUCCUCCAUCAAGCAAACUCGAAUGUUUGUCUCUGCUGUUUUCUUAGUGAGGAGCAGAUAGAGAGAGGUGGCUGGGGGUCUAUCUAUGUCUCAGCCCCAACAGCCUCCUCCACUUCUGGCCUGAGUGUGUGUAAGCCUCUGCAUUUGGCACAUCUGCACACAGGUGUUUCAUUCAUGAACUCCUGACCAAGGAGGUCAGAAAAGAGGGAAGACAUUGGCCUGGGGAAUCCCCUGGCUCAUCAUCACUCUCAGCUGGCCUGACAAGGACUGACCUUGGCUCACCAAGCACAGAGCCUCAGUCACCUCCCAAAUCACGAGACUGGUACCCUAGGGGGACAAGAACAUCUUAUCAAGCUGCAAGUCACCGCUUAUCAACUGUCAUGGGAAGGCAGAGCCUUACCCUCGUGCCAUUCCUCAGGGAUGUUUGAGCCAAGACCUUUCCAUUUCACUCUCUCCCUGAAGGCCUUCAGGGGCUCCCCACUGUGUCCAGGAUGCAAUCCACACUGCGUGGUCUGGCCUUGAGUUUCCUUGUUUCUCAACCUGGUCCUUGCUAUGUCUGUGGUACCAUCUAUACACUGCUGUGUACCUACCCCUUCACCCCACACACCAGGAGUCCAACUCAUACAUGGUCUGUAGGCUGUUUUCCAAAUCUUUAUAGUUGCCAAAAAUACCUCAUUUCAAUGGCUGCCUCUUUCUUAUUAACUGAUGCCAUCCAAAAUGCAUUUCCACAGAUGUAGAUGCGGGCCAAACCUAUGUUCGUUCUAACGCAGGACCUUACCCUGGUGAGCACACAGCCCCUGGGACUGCACCUGAAUGAACAUCACGCAGACCACUUUCCAGAAUGGUUCUCUUCCUGUGAGCAGCUGCAGAUCCUCCCCCACCUCCCAAAAGCUCACUGCUGUGGAGCAGAGGCAGUUAGUUGUAUUAGGACACAUCACAGCAUCUCGCUGCCAAAGUGACAACUACAAUUAUGUUUUGGCCGACAGCUGGAGAUGAGAGAAUAUACAAACAACUCAGGCCUCAUGCGUGCCCAUGAAUCAGCAGUUCGUGCUGUCUGCCCAGUUAGUAGGUUCCUGACCUGGCUUUCCCUCCUUGGCUUGACUGGACUUCAGAUGGCAGUGGGGCUCAGUGGAACACACUGAAAUGGCAGUUAUCCUCCCCAAGACGUUGAGCCUUCCUGGAAGAGCAAUGAGGAAUGGCUGUUGGACAUCCCUCAUAAUUCAAGAGCCAUGUGUUCUGUUCUACAUGAAGGGGUUUUGAGUGGUCUUCAGAUGAAAGGAGCUCCUUGGGCAGACAAAAUACCACUGUUGGAAGCAGCCAGCACCCGAGAGCAGAAGAGUUUCUCUGAAGACCCUGCCAUGUGAAGACCCUCAUCAACCCUGUGUAGAGAUUCAUGCAGUGGAAAACUAAGACCUGCUACAAAUAACUACGUGAGUGUGCCAUCUUGGAGGUGAUCUUCCAGCCCCAGGCAAAAAUUCACAUAACUGCAGUACCAGACAACAAGUAGACUGAAACCUCACCAGAUAUUGAGCCAGAACCAUCCAGAUAAGCCACUCCUGAAUUUCUGAUUAUCUUUUUAAGUCUCUAAAUGUUGUAGUCAUUUGUUAUACAGCCAUAUAACUAAUACAGAAGGCAAAAUAAAGAUAUUUUUAGACAGACAAAAGGAAAGAGAGAGUUCAGAACCAGCAGAUCUGUACUAAAACAAAUUCUAAUGUAAAGUUUUCAGGUGUAAGGAAAAUGAAAUCAGAUGGAAGGUAAGAGCUAGAUAAGGAAUGAUGAACACCUAAAAUGGUAAAUAUAUGUGUAAAUCUAAUGUUUUCCUGGAUUUUUAAGUUACUGAGACUGACCUCAAAUUUGUAGUCAUCCUGCCUCAGCCUCGGAGGUCGCUGGGAUUAUGGGCAUCCACCAUUGGGCCUGGCUAUUUCAUUGGAUUUAAAAGUACAUUACAACAAUAAGAAGGCAUAAAUAUGGGCUGGGAUUAUGACUCAGUGAUAGAACGCUUUGGUUCCUGGAUUCUCAGUACCAUAUAAAUAACUAAAGAUAUUGUGUCUAUCUACAACUAAAAAUUUAAAAAAAGAAGGCAUAAAUAAAUGGAGAGAUAUACUAUACCAUGUUUAUGGAUUAGAAGAUUUAAUUGAUGUUAAUUCUCCUCAAAUUGAUCUAUAAGUUCAACACAAUACCAAUUAACAUAUCAGCCACCUGUCUUCCCCCAAAUUAACAAACUGAUACUAAAAUUUAUAUUGAAAAAGCAACAGACUAGCCAGACGUGAAGGUGCAUGCUUGUAAUCCCAGUGGCUGGUGAGUCUGAGACAGGAGGAUUCAAAGCCAGCCUCAGCAAAAUCAAGGCACUAAGGGGCUGGGGCUAUGGCUCAGUGGUGGCGCACUUGCCUGGCAUGUGUGAGGCACUGGGUUCAAUUCUCAGCACUACAUAUCAAUAAAUAGGAUAAAGUUCUAUGAACACCUAAAAAGAUAUUUUUAAAAAAUCGAGGCCCUAAGCAACUCAGUGAGACCCUGUUUCUAAAUAAAAUACAAAAUAGGCUAGGGAUGUGGCUCAGUGGUUAAGUGCCCCUGAAUUCAAUCCCCGGUACUAAAAAAUACCCAAUCAACCAACCAACCAAACAAACAAACAAACAAAAAAACAGACUAAAAUAGUCAAAACUAUUGUUUUAACAAUUUCAUAAAAGAACACAGUUGUGGGACUUUUACAACCUGAUUUUAAGACUUACCCUAAGCCAUAGCAAGGUUGGCAGACUGACCUAGAGUCAGAGGUAGCCUGUAAUCUGUUUUUGCCAGAAUUUUAAGCUAAUUUUAAGCUUUUUAAAUGAUUGGAAAAGAAAAAAAAAAAGAGGUGGUGAAACUGACUUUGUCUUUCUUAUAAGUACUUUAAGAAAGUCUCAGUCAUAGCCAGUCCAACUGGUGCACACCUGUAAUACCAGCAACUGUGGAGGCUAACGCAGGAGGAUCACAAGUUCAAAGCCAACCUCUUCAAUUUAGCAAGAUCCUGUCCCAAAAUAAAAAACAAAAAGGGGCUGGGAUAUAGCUCAGUGGUAAAGCACACCUGGGUUCAAUACCUGGUACCAAAAAAGAAAAAAAAGUUUGAAUCAUAAAAACAAAUUAGAAACAAUAAACUGCUUAGUAACUGGUCUUUUGUGAAAUGUUAAUACUAAAGUUUUUUGGUUUUUUUUUGGUACCAGGGAUUAAACCCAGGGGCAUUUUACCACUGAGCCACAUCCCUAGCACUUUUUAAAAAAAUAUUUUAAUUAGAGA
Long non-coding RNA from Ictidomys tridecemlineatus (thirteen-lined ground squirrel), 3865 nucleotides. RefSeq lists it as uncharacterized. Lineage: Eukaryota; Metazoa; Chordata; Mammalia; Rodentia; Sciuridae. The record is from RefSeq and is a predicted model, not a curated record.